GAAUGGCCAAUGAACACUUAUUUUGCUGGAGCCUGCAACUUACUUAAGCUCUGUGGACCUAGUGUUCUGCGAACACCCAAGAAAGCACAGGUACAUGGAGGUGUCUGGGCUGUCUGCAUUUGACCUCCUGCUUCCCUGUAAGCUCCCUGGAAGUACCACAGCUCUUCAUGACACACAAGCGGCAAGCCGAAUGCAACUCUGAUUUGAUGGCAAUAAUUGCUGUACUAAUCAGUCUGGGAAUACACUUCAGG
Molecule: long non-coding RNA, 251 nt
Filed under: Macaca mulatta (Rhesus monkey)
Lineage: Eukaryota; Metazoa; Chordata; Mammalia; Primates; Cercopithecidae
Description: lncRNA (ENSMMUG00000063773.1)
Source: RNAcentral